UACGUAGGGGGCUAGCGUUGUCCGGAAUCAUUGGGCGUAAAUAGCGCGUAGGCGGCCAGAUAAGUCCGGUGUGAAAGUCACAGGCUCAACCUGUGAAUGCCGCUGGAAACUGUCUGGCUAGAGUCCGGAAGGGGCGAGUGGAAUUCCUGGUGUAGCGGUGAAAUGCGCAGAUAUCAGGAGGAACACCAAUGGCGAAGGCAGCUCGCUGGGACGGUACUGACGCUGAGGCGCGAAAGCGUGGGGAGCGAACAGG
Molecule: ribosomal RNA, 253 nt
Filed under: uncultured bacterium
Lineage: Bacteria
Description: partial 16S ribosomal RNA
Rfam family: Bacterial small subunit ribosomal RNA
Source: RNAcentral